UAGUCCACACCGUAAACGAUGAAUGCCAGACGUCGGGGGGCUUGCCCUUCGGUGUCACACCUAACGGAUUAAGCAUUCCGCCUGGGGAGUACGGUCGCAAGAUUAAAACUCAAAGGAAUUGACGGGGACCCGCACAAGCGGUGGAGCAUGUUGUUUAAUUCGAAGCAACGCGAAGAACCUUACCCACACUUAACUAUCCUCUUGGGACUUUCAGAGAUGAUUGUCUUCGGUUCGGCCGGGGAGUGAAUAGGUGCUGCAUGGCUGUCGUCAGCUCGUGUCGUGAGAUGUUCGGUUAAGUCCGGUAACGAGCGCAACCCUUAUUGUUAGUUGCCAUCAUUCAGUUGGGCACUCUAACAAGACUGCCGGUGAUAAGCCGGAGGAAGGCGGGGACGACGUCAAGUCAUCAUGGCCCUUACGUGUGGGGCUACAAACGUGCUACAAUGGCAGUGACAAUGGGUUAAUCCCAAAAAGCUAGUCUCAGUUCGGAUUGGGGUCUGCAACUCGACCCCAUGAAGUCGGAAUCGCU
This 526-nucleotide ribosomal RNA is filed under the name uncultured bacterium. Its description in RNAcentral is "bacterial SSU rRNA". It matches the Rfam family "Bacterial small subunit ribosomal RNA", at positions 791 to 1336 of the family's 1533-position model. The record is from RNAcentral.